RNAcentral lists this ribosomal RNA (468 nucleotides) under uncultured bacterium. RNAcentral describes it as "partial 16S ribosomal RNA". It matches the Rfam family "Bacterial small subunit ribosomal RNA", at positions 28 to 507 of the family's 1533-position model. The record is from RNAcentral.
GACGAACGCUGGCGGCGUGCUUAACACAUGCAAGUCGAACGGAAAGGCCCUGCUUUUGUGGGGUGCUCGAGUGGCGAACGGGUGAGUAACACGUGAGUAACCUGCCCUUGACUUUGGGAUAACUUCAGGAAACUGGGGCUAAUACCGGAUAGGAGCUCCUGCUGCAUGGUGGGGGUUGGAAAGUUUCGGCGGUUGGGGCUGGACUCGCGGCUUAUCAGCUUGUUGGUGGGGUAGUGGCUUACCAAGGCUUUGACGGGUAGCCGGCCUGAGAGGGUGACCGGCCACAUUGGGACUGAGAUACGGCCCAGACGCCUACGGGAGGCAGCAGUGGGGAAUAUUGCACAAUGGGCGGAAGCCUGAUGCAGCAACGCCGCGUGCGGGAUGACGGCCUUCGGGUUGUAAACCGCUUUCGCCUGUGACGAAGCGUGAGUGACGGUAAUGGGUAAAGAAGCACCGGCUAACUACGUG